CCUACGGGAGGCUGCAGUGGGGAAUAUUGGGCAAUGGGCGCAAGCCUGACCCAGCAACGCCGCGUGAAGGAAGAAGGCUUUCGGGUUGUAACCUUCUUUUCUCAGGGACGAAGAAAGUGACGGUACCUGAGGUAUAAGCCACGGCUAACUACGUGCCAGCAGCCGCGGUAAUACGUAGGUGGCAAGCGUUAUCCGGAUUUAUUGGGUGUAAAGGGCGUGUAGGCGGGAGCGCAAGUCAGAUGUGAAAACUCAGGGCUCAACCCUGAGCCUGCAUUUGAAACUGUCUGUCUUGAGUGCUGGAGAGGCAAUCGGAAUUCCGGGUGUAGCGGUGAAAUGCGUAGAUAUACGGAGGAACACCAGUGGCGAAGGCGGAUUGCUGGACAGUAACUGACGCUGAGGCGCGAAAGCGUGGGGAGCAAACAGGAUUAGAUACCCCGGUAGUC
This 443-nucleotide ribosomal RNA is filed under the name uncultured bacterium. Its description in RNAcentral is "partial 16S ribosomal RNA". It matches the Rfam family "Bacterial small subunit ribosomal RNA", at positions 338 to 795 of the family's 1533-position model. The record is from RNAcentral.